This 379-nucleotide ribosomal RNA is filed under the name uncultured cyanobacterium. RNAcentral's name for it is "bacterial SSU rRNA". It matches the Rfam family "Bacterial small subunit ribosomal RNA", at positions 376 to 770 of the family's 1533-position model. Lineage: Bacteria; Bacillati; Cyanobacteriota. The record is from RNAcentral.
CGAAAGCCUGACGGAGCAACGCCGCGUGAGGGAUGAAGGCCUCUGGGCUGUAAACCUCUUUUCUCAAGGAAGAAGAACUGACGGUACUUGAGGAAUAAGCCACGGCUAAUUCCGUGCCAGCAGCCGCGGUAAUACGGGAGUGGCAAGCGUUAUCCGGAAUUAUUGGGCGUAAAGCGUCCGCAGGCGGCCUCGUAAGUCUGUCGUUAAAGCGUGGAGCUUAACUCCAUUUAAGCGAAGGAAACUGUGAGGCUUGAGUGUGGUAGGGGCAGAGGGAAUUCCCGGUGUAGCGGUGAAAUGCGUAGAUAUCGGGAAGAACACCAGUGGCGAAGGCGCUCUGCUGGGCCAUAACUGACGCUCAUGGACGAAAGCCAGGGGAGCG